Non-coding RNA from Mycena galericulata, 91 nucleotides. Lineage: Eukaryota; Fungi; Basidiomycota; Agaricomycetes; Agaricales; Mycenaceae. The record is from the annotation of a GenBank genome assembly.
GACCGCGUGGAUCCUUGGUUAGGUCACCGAGUUCUCGUGAAAUGUCGAUGAUGUAUUCUCGGAGGUGGUGGUUCGAUUCCACCCGCGGUCU